RNAcentral lists this long non-coding RNA (1866 nucleotides) under Equus caballus (horse). RNAcentral describes it as "lncRNA (ENSECAG00000051727.1)". Lineage: Eukaryota; Metazoa; Chordata; Mammalia; Perissodactyla; Equidae. The record is from RNAcentral.
AGUUGAUUUGUGAACUUAGUUCUCAUGGCUCCAUUCUUUGGCCAUUGAAUAAAGCUUGUGCUGUUGAACACUCAGCUUUGGUUUCCUUUCAAAUCCAUGACACUGAACAGGAAAGAACCCUCCAAGGAAGGGACGGAUUGUGGGUAUGAGGCCCAUCCAUGGGCCCCUCCUUGGAGCUCCUCCAAAUGUGGGCCAGAGUCCCACUGGAGUGAGGUGAAAUUGGUAACAAAACUGCUAAAAAUGCAGGCUACAAAACCACCCAGUCUAGCUCCAGAGUCCAUGGUCUGAACCGCUGCACUGUAUUGCCUCGUACAGCGCUCUGUAACUCGAUUUUCUUAACUAUUUCAUGCGUAUUUUUCCAGGUUAAUAAAUAAUAGAUGAUUCAUUUUUUAAAAACUAGGUAACUUUCCAUAGCAUAGAUAACCUUAAUGUAUUUAGCUAUCCUCCCAAUCCUGUCACAAACGAUGCUGCAAUUGUUUUAUUGUUUUAAAACAUACAUCCUUAUGUAUUAGUGUAUUGAUUUCCAUUGAUUAGAUUCUGAAAGGUGGAGAAGAGCCAAUGAGUUUGGAUAUAUUUAGUUAUAAUAGCUACUGCUAGAUUAUUAUUAUUAUGAAAUUUUAAUUGUGAUAAAAUGCACAUUACAUAAAAUUUGCUAGAUUAUUUUUAUGAAAAAUUUGUAGCAAUUCACACUCCCACCACCAGUGUAUGAGAGGGAUCUGUCGACUUCCUCACCAGCACCACCCAUUCUUGUUUUCCUAAACUUGUGUCAAGCUGGUAGGUGAAUAUGGGUACUUCACUGUUGCUUUAAUUUGUAUUUCCAAGACUCCUAGUGGGACAGAGCACCACAUCAUCUAUUUAUUGGUCACUCACAUUCUUUGCCAAGAAAUCUGAAUUUUCAGUCUGAAGGGUUCAGAACUUUAAGCUAAAAGAAUAAAUUUUCACUUAGGAAUCUUCAAUCUGAAGCGUUCUGCACAUUAAAAGUAGGUAAAGGGAACAUGAAUGCCUAAGUGUAUGUUUAAAACGGGAGCUUUCUUGGCCUCCUUCGGUGCCCCUGAAACCAUUUAUUCUGCUUACACAUUAGCCUAGAACAGUGGAUGCUUUAACCGUGAAAGAAGUUAUCUCCCAUAUGGAUUUGGAAGCUGUAGAAAAAGUGGAAAAUGAAAGUGAUUUUGAGAUAUGGAGGAGUCACUGUACACGUUGAGUGUUGUCCUGUCAUCAUCGAAGAUUCUAAUCUGUGCAUUUCCAGAAUGCACUUCAGCCUACUGUUGUAAAGAGCCUUUCAAAGACAAAUUAGCUGCAAGAUGACUUUACAUUUUGUAGCUGUGAAAAGAGAAAAGAUGAGCGGCUCAGGGCCCGUUUGCAGCAAGGACAUAGCCGUCCGCUGGGAUGGCAUGGAAUCUGCUAUCCAUUUCUGGUCCUGAAUUGGGACUGUUAGAAAAGAAUCCCUCUGUAAAGUUAAGUGAAUUUCGUGAAGUUCUGGUUGACAAGGUAGAAGAGACUUGGGCCAAACUAAACAGUCAUUCCCAGGUGACGUUCAUGACUUGGAAGAGAGGGAGCAUACUUUCCCACCACCUUCUCUGCAGUGCGGCUUCUGUUGGAGCACAGGUGAGGUGUUGUGAGUAGGUGGACCUUGCCACUGGGACCCCCUACACAAAAGCGAAAUUCCAUCAGCCCAGCACUGAAGAGUUUUGUUUGUGUGGAGAGACAGUGCCCUACCUGUGAACCACAUUUUAAAAUGCAUUUUGAGGUUUGAGCUAAUAAUGUGAAUGACAUUCAGUGAGAUUGCCAAAUGCUGGUAAUUUACUCUCAUUUUCACAUUAAUGUGGGCCCACCUGUGAUGAAUUGGAAACUAAAUAAGCACAUCAG